AUGCAAUGUUUUGCAACAAAGAAAAAUUUAAAAAUUCCAAUAGUUUCUCGCAAAACCAAUAAUUGGAUAAUCUUUUCAUGCAACACCCACCUCUCAAAAAUAUAUCUGUUAGCAUUUAUAUGGCUCAAGACCUUCUCCUAUCAACCAAUCAGCUCACGCUACAUUUUAAGAUGGAUUUAAAACGAACUGACUCAAGUAUAACACCACAAAAAGGUUAU
RNAcentral lists this long non-coding RNA (218 nucleotides) under Elaeis guineensis (African oil palm). RNAcentral describes it as "long non-coding RNA (EGUI_LNC016691)". The record is from RNAcentral. Lineage: Eukaryota; Viridiplantae; Streptophyta; Magnoliopsida; Arecales; Arecaceae.